AGGGGGUUUGGAUCCUGGCUCAAGACGAACGCUGGCGGCGUGCUUAAUACAUGCAAGUCGAACGAGGGCCCGGAGCUUGCUCCGGUGACCCGAGUGGCGGACGGGUGAGUAACACGUGACCAACCUACCUUCGGGAGGGGGACAACCUGGGGAAACCCGGGCUAAUACCGCAUAUCGUCCACGGGCCGCAUGGCCUGUGGAUAAAAGGGAGCCUCUGCUUGCAUGCUCUCACCCGAAGAGGGGGUCGCGGCGUAUCAGCUUGUUGGUGGGGUAACGGCCUACCAAGGCGACGACGCGUAGCGGGUCUGAGAGGACGACCCGUCACAUUGGGACUGAGAUACGGCCCAGACUUCUACGGAAGGCAGCAGUAGGGAAUAUUGCGCAAUGGCCGAAAGGUUGACGCAGCGACGCCGCGUGUGGGGAGGACGCCCUUCGGGGUGUAAACCACUGUCAGGGGGGAAGAACCUCGUAGGCGUGAAUUAGCGCUUUGCGGCUGACGGUACCCCCAGAGGAAGUGCCCGGCUUAACUCCGUUGCCAGCAAGCCCGCCGGUAAGACGGGAAGGGCGCCAAGC
RNAcentral lists this ribosomal RNA (573 nucleotides) under uncultured bacterium. RNAcentral's name for it is "bacterial SSU rRNA". It matches the Rfam family "Bacterial small subunit ribosomal RNA", at positions 1 to 539 of the family's 1533-position model. The record is from RNAcentral.